UUCCCUUCUCCAGGGAAUCUUCCUGACCCAGGAAUCGAACUGGGGUCUCUUGCAUUGCAGGCAGAUUCUUUACCAGCUGAGCUACCAGGGAGGCACUAACUAGGGUUAGAUGCCCUAGUUUUUGGUUUUGUGUUCUUUUUUUUCACCCUGCUCAAAUAGUUCUCUUCAAUACCGAGAUAUGCAGGGUUAAACUUUCGUUCCUAUAGCCUUUGUUCUAUUCAGUACAAUAACGCCUUCUGUGAAUGGCCCAAGUGACUUCACUCUUACUUCCCUACGCAUAAAAUAAACAGGAUGCAGCCUACUUUAGGAAAACUUAUCACAAAAACCCCAAUCCUGGAAUCUGAGGUUCUUUCACCAGACAAGGAACUAAGCUGAGCGUGGACUUGGGUGAGAAGAUCAAGUGACAUUGAUGAGAAAGGAACGUCCUUUCCCUGCUUUUUCCCUGGAAGAAAAGCACUUUCUCCUACCUUGG
Molecule: long non-coding RNA, 472 nt
Filed under: Bos indicus x Bos taurus (hybrid cattle)
Lineage: Eukaryota; Metazoa; Chordata; Mammalia; Artiodactyla; Bovidae
Description: lncRNA (ENSBIXG00000010935.1)
Source: RNAcentral